CGAAGGGCCACUACCGCCGAU
RNAcentral lists this non-coding RNA (21 nucleotides) under Arabidopsis thaliana (thale cress). Lineage: Eukaryota; Viridiplantae; Streptophyta; Magnoliopsida; Brassicales; Brassicaceae. The record is from RNAcentral.